Long non-coding RNA from Saccostrea cuccullata (small rock oyster), 184 nucleotides. RefSeq lists it as uncharacterized. The record is from RefSeq and is a predicted model, not a curated record. The transcript has 3 exons. NCBI's taxonomy places the organism in Eukaryota, Metazoa, Mollusca, Bivalvia, Ostreida, Ostreidae.
GAAGAGUUUAGGAGAUGCAGCAGGAAUAGACCAUGUCCACGUGGACAAAUUUGUAGGCAGGGAUUCUGUGGUGGUAACUUCGGAGAAGGUUAACGCUAGAUGGUACAUUAUGAACACGACAAACACGGGUGUGCGGAUAGGACGUAGUAGAUCUGUUCACUCGUACACGGAAUAUUCGACAUGU